This 445-nucleotide ribosomal RNA is filed under the name uncultured bacterium. RNAcentral describes it as "partial 16S ribosomal RNA". It matches the Rfam family "Bacterial small subunit ribosomal RNA", at positions 354 to 796 of the family's 1533-position model. The record is from RNAcentral.
GUGAGGAAUAUUGCGCAAUGGAGGCAACUCUGACGCAGCCAUGCCGCGUGCAGGAAGAAGGCGCUACGCGUUGUAAACUGCUUUUAACCGGGAAGAAACCCCAGGACGUGUCCUGGGUUGACGGUACCGGAGGAAUAAGCACCGGCUAACUUCGUGCCAGCAGCCGCGGUAAUACGAAGGGUGCAAGCGUUAUCCGGAUUCAUUGGGUUUAAAGGGUGCGUAGACGGAGCGUUAAGUCAGUGGUGAAAUCCUGCAGCUUAACUGUAGACUUGCCAUUGAUACUGGCGCUCUUGAGUGCGCUUGAAGUGGGCGGAAUGUGCCGUGUAGCGGUGAAAUGCUUAGAUAUGGCACAGAACACCAAUUGCGAAGGCAGCUCACUAAGGCGAUACUGACGCUGAGGCACGAAAGCGUGGGGAUCGAACAGGAUUAGAAACCCCAGUAGUCC